GAACGCUGGCGGCGUGCCUAAUACAUGCAAGUCGAACGGCUUUUCUAUGGAAGCUUGCUUCCACUGAGAAGAUAGUGGCGGACGGGUGAGUAACACGUGGGUAACCUGCCCAUAAGAGGGGGAUAACAUCCGGAAACGGGUGCUAAUACCGCAUAGUUUUCUUGAUCGCAUGAUUGAGAAAGGAAAGACGGCCUUUGUGCUGUCGCUUAUGGAUGGACCCGCGGCGUAUUAGUUAGUUGGUGAGGUAAUGGCUCACCAAGACGAUGAUACGUAGCCGACCUGAGAGGGUGAUCGGCCACAUUGGGACUGAGACACGGCCCAAACUCCUACGGGAGGCAGCAGUAGGGAAUCUUCCGCAAUGGACGAAAGUCUGACGGAGCAACGCCGCGUGAGUGAAGAAAGGUUUUCGGAUCGUAAAACUCUGUUGUCAGAGAAGAACAAGUUGGAGAGUAACUGCUCCAGCCUUGACGGUAUCUGACCAGAAAGCCACGGCUAACUACGUGCCAGCCGCCGC
RNAcentral lists this ribosomal RNA (514 nucleotides) under uncultured bacterium. RNAcentral's name for it is "bacterial SSU rRNA". It matches the Rfam family "Bacterial small subunit ribosomal RNA", at positions 31 to 518 of the family's 1533-position model. The record is from RNAcentral.